This 23-nucleotide non-coding RNA is filed under the name Arabidopsis thaliana (thale cress). Lineage: Eukaryota; Viridiplantae; Streptophyta; Magnoliopsida; Brassicales; Brassicaceae. The record is from RNAcentral.
CAAGGAGACCGAGUUUUUGCUUG